Molecule: long non-coding RNA, 283 nt
Filed under: Gallus gallus (chicken)
Lineage: Eukaryota; Metazoa; Chordata; Aves; Galliformes; Phasianidae
Description: long non-coding RNA NONGGAT012035
Source: RNAcentral
CCGGGAGCAGAGCAAAGGCUGCGGGGCUGGGGCCGUGCUCAGUGCGGCCUGGCGAGGCGUGGAGAGAGCAGCGACUCUCUUGUUUCUCGUCGUCGAUGCCAAUCAUGUCCAAAGGGACGGAGGAGGCCCCCAACUCUGGGGAGCCAGUGUGCAUGCUGUGCCGCCGGGCACAGGUCAACCCGGACAUCUGCGGGCAGACAUUUGCCAACGGUGGGCUCUGUGCCCACCAGUUCUGCUUGUUCUUUGCCAAUGGCCUUUUGGAAUGGAGAAGCCCAAUGGGGGG